UCACUGGUGACUGGAGUGCAGAGGUGUGCUCAGGGAGUACCAUAGCCUGCUGUCUCAGGUGAACAAGCCAACGUACAAUUUCCAUUUUACACUUCAGUUUCUUGUAGCUGUUUAUGUUAUGGAGAAGAAAGAUAUAUUGGCCUAUUUUUCUGACUUUUCCCUUAAAGCAGAAUGUCUUUUUCUCUUUGCUUAGUUGUAAAGAAGAGGAAAUACAUGAUAAAGUAACUGGUUUGAUCUCUUUCAUUGUACAUUGACUGCUUCUGAAUAUCCAAUAUUUUUUAGUUAUCUAAAUAAAAUGCCUCUAAAACAAAA
This is a non-coding RNA of Peromyscus maniculatus bairdii (prairie deer mouse), 312 nucleotides long. Lineage: Eukaryota; Metazoa; Chordata; Mammalia; Rodentia; Cricetidae. The record is from RefSeq and is a predicted model, not a curated record.